This 3006-nucleotide long non-coding RNA is filed under the name Anas zonorhyncha (Eastern spot-billed duck). Its description in RNAcentral is "lncRNA (ENSAZOG00000005246.1)". Lineage: Eukaryota; Metazoa; Chordata; Aves; Anseriformes; Anatidae. The record is from RNAcentral.
UGGGGUUUUUGGGGACACUGGGGACAUUUGGGGACAUUUGGGGUCAUUUAUUUGGGGCCAUUUGGGACCAUUUGGGUGGGUUUGGGGGACAUUUAGGGUGGUUUUGGGGCCAUUUUGGGUGUUUGGGGGGCCAUUUUGGGUGCUUUUGGGGCCAUUUUGGGUGCUUUUGGGGGAUAUUUUGGGAUUUUGGGUUUUUGGGACCAUUUUGGGGCCAUUUUGGGGCCAUUUGGGACCAUUUGGGUGGGUUUGGGGGACAUUUAGGGUGGUUUUGGGGCCAUUUUGGGUGUUUGGGGGGCCAUUUUGGGUGCUUUUGGGGCCAUUUUGGGUGCUUUUGGGGGAUAUUUUGGGAUUUNNNNNNNNNNGACACUGGGGACAUUUGGGGCCAUUUGGGGCCAUUUUGGUGGUUUUGGGGGGACAUUUGGUGGGUUUGGGGGCCAUUUUGGGUGCUUUUGGGGUUAUAUUUUGGGAUUUGGGGUUUUUGGGACCAUUUUGGGGUCAUUUUGGGGCCAUUUGGGACCAUUUGGGUGGGUUUGGGGGACAUUUAGGGUGGUUUGGGGGCCAUUUUGGGUGGUUUUGGGGCCAUUUUGGGUGGUUUUAGGGCCAUUUUGGGUGCUUUUGGGCUUAUAUUUUGGGAUUUUGGGUUUUUGGGACCAUUUUGGGGCAAUUUUGGGGCAAUUUGGGACCAUCCUUGCCCUCCUUCCCCCGCAGGUCCCCCCAGAAGAAGACGCGGCCACCCCGCGGCCCCCGGUGACGUCCCCGCGUCCCCCCCGGGCCACCAAACGUCCCCAAAUUUCCCCAAAUCCCCCCUUGGGGGCCCCAAAACCACCCAAAAAGCCCCGGCUGGCCCCGGGGGGCCGCUGUCCCCAAACGUCCCCAAAUUCGUGUCCCCAAAUGUCCCAAACGACCCCAAAUUCGUGUCCCCAAACGUCCCCAAAUUCGUGUCCCCAAAUGUCCCCAAAUUCGUGUCCCCAAACGUCCCAAAAGUCCCGAACCUCAAUGUCCCCAAAUUCGUGUCCCCAAAUGUCCCAAACGACCCCAAAUUCGUGUCCCCAAACGUCCCCAAAUUCGUGUCCCCAAAUGUCCCCAAAUUCGUGUCCCCAAAUGUCCCAAACGACCCCAAAUUCAUGUCCCCAAACCUCGAGGACCUCCGAUUUGUCCCCGUGUCCCCAAAUGUCCCCAAAUUUGUGUCCCCAAACCUCCUCGAGGUCCUCAAACCCCUCCCCAUGUCCCCAAAUGUCCCAAAUGUCCCCAAAUUUGUGUCCCCAAACCUCCUGGAGGUCCUCCAAGCCAUGUUCUCAACGGUUGAGGGCCUCCAACCCAACCUCGUGUCCCCAAAUGUCCCAAACGACCCCAAAUUUGUGUCCUUUGACCUCCUCGACCUCCUCCAACUCUUCUCCUCCAACCUCCUCGAGGUCCUCCAGGCCAUGUUCUCAACGGUUGAGGGCCUCCACCCUGGCCCCGUGUCCCCAAAUGUCCCCAAAUUCGUGUCCCCAAACCUCCUUGAGGUCCUCCAAGCCAUGUCCUCCAACCUCGAGGUCCUCCAACCCAUCCCAACCUCCUCCAACCUCCUCAACCUCCUCCAACUCUUCUCCUCCAACCUCUUCGAGGUUCUCCAAGCCAUGUUCUCAAAGGUUGAGGUCCUCCAACCCAUGCUCAUGUCCUUCAACCUCCUCAACCUCCUCCACCCCACAUCCUCCAACGUCCUCCAGGUCCUCCAACCCAUCCCCACCUCCUCCAUCCUCCAAGAACUCUUCCAACCCAUGUCCUCAAAGCUCCUUGAUGUCCUCCAAGCCAUGUCCUCAAAGGUUGAGGUCCUCCAACCCAUCCCCAUGUCCUUCAACCUCCUCGACCUCCUCCAACCCAUGUCCUCCAACCUCCUUGAGGUCCUUCAAGCCAUGUCCUCAAACCUUGAGGUCCUCCACCCCAUCCCAACCUUCUCCAACCUCCUCCAACCCAUGUCCUCAACACCCUUUGAGGUCCUCCAACCCAUCCCCAUGUCCUCCAACCUCUUCAACCUCCUCCACCUCUUGUCCUCCAACCUCUUCGAGGUCCUCCACCCCAUCCCAACCUCCUCCAACGUCCUUGACCUUCUCCAACCCACGUCCUCCAACCUCCUCGAGGUCCUCCAACCCAUGUCCUCAAACCCCGUUGAGGUCCUCCAACCCAUCCCAACCUCCUCCAACCUCCUACACCUCCUCCACCCCAUAUCUUCCACCCUCCUUGAGGUCCUCCAACCCAUCUCCACCUCCUCCAACCUCCUCCAACUCUUCUCCUCCAACCUCUUCGAGGUCCUCCAAGCCAUGUUCUCAAACGUUGAUGUCCUCCAACCCAUCUCUACCUCCUCCAACCUCCUCAACCUCCUCCAACUCUUGUCCUUCACCCUCCUUGAGGUCCUCCACCCCACAUCCUCCAACCUUCUCGAGGUCUUCCAAGCCAUGUUCUCAACGCUUGAGGUCCUCCAACCCAUCCCGACCUCCUCCAACCUCCUUGACCUCCACCCCAUGUCCUCAACCCUCCUUGAGGUCCUCCAACUCUUCUCCUCCAACCUCUUUGAGGUCCUCCAACUCAUCCUCAUGUCCUCCAACCUCCUCGAUCUCCUCCACCUCUUCUCCUCCAACCUCCUUGAGGUCCUCCAACCCAUCCCCACCUCCUCCAACCUCCUCCAACUCUUCUCCUCCAACCUCUUCGAGGUCCUCCAAGCCAUGUUCUAAAAGGUUGAGGUCCUCCACCCCAUCCCAACCUUCUCCAACCUCCUCCACCCCACAUCCUCCACCCCCGUUGAGGUCCUCCAACCCAUCCCAACCUCCUCAACCCUCCUCAACCUCUAACCUCUUCCACCUCUUCUCCUCCAACCUCUUCGAGGUCCUCCACCCCAUCUCUACCUCCUCCAACCUCCUCCAACCCAUGUCUUAGAACCUCCUCGAGGUCCUCCAAGCCAUGUUCUCAAAGGUUGAGGUCCUCCAACCCAUCCCAACCUCCUCCAACCUCCUCAACCUCCUCCACCCC